UACGGAGGGUGCAAGCGUUAAUCGGAAUUACUGGGCGUAAAGCGCACGCAGGUGGCUGAGAAAGUCGAUUGUGAAAGCCCUGGGCUUAACCUGGGAAUUGCAGUCGAAACUACUCGGCUAGAGUAUGGGAGAGGGUAGUGGAAUUCCCGGUGUAGCGGUGAAAUGCGUAGAUAUCGUGAGGAAUACCAGAGGCGAAGGCGGCUACCUGGACAAUUGCUGACGCUCAGGCACGAAAGCGUGGGGAGCAAAAGGG
Molecule: ribosomal RNA, 253 nt
Filed under: uncultured bacterium
Lineage: Bacteria
Description: partial 16S ribosomal RNA
Rfam family: Bacterial small subunit ribosomal RNA
Source: RNAcentral